Molecule: ribosomal RNA, 425 nt
Filed under: uncultured bacterium
Lineage: Bacteria
Description: bacterial SSU rRNA
Rfam family: Bacterial small subunit ribosomal RNA
Source: RNAcentral
GUGGGGAAUCUUAGACAAUGGGGGCAACCCUGAUCUAGCCAUGCCGCGUGAGUGAUGAAGGCCUUAGGGUUGUAAAGCUCUUUCAGUGGGGAAGAUAAUGACGGUACCCACAGAAGAAGCCCCGGCUAACUCCGUGCCAGCAGCCGCGGUAAUACGGAGGGGGCUAGCGUUGUUCGGAAUUACUGGGCGUAAAGCGCACGUAGGCGGAUCGGAAAGUUGGGGGUGAAAUCCCAGGGCUAAACCCUGGAACUGCCUUCAAAACUAUCGGUCUGGAGUCCGAGAGAGGUGAGUGGAAUUCCGAGUGUAGAGGUGAAAUUCGUAGAUAUUCGGAGGAACACCAGUGGCGAAGGCGGCUCACUGGCUCGGUACUGACGCUGAGGUGCGAAAGCGUGGGGAGCAAACAGGAUUAGAUACCCGAGUAGUCC